GACGAACGCUGGCGGCGUGCUUAACACAUGCAAGUCGAACGAAGCUUGAUUACGGAUUCUUCGGAUGAAGUAUGAUAUGACUGAGUGGCGGACGGGUGAGUAACGCGUGAGUAACCUGCCCUUCAGAGGGGGAUAGCGUUUGGAAACGAACGGUAAUACCGCAUAAUGUAUUUUGACCGCAUGAUCGAAAUACCAAAGAUUUAUCGCUGAAGGAUGGACUCGCGUCUGAUUAGGUAGUUGGUGGGGUAACGGCCUACCAAGCCGACGAUCAGUAGCCGGACUGAGAGGUUGAUCGGCCACAUUGGGACUGAGACACGGCCCAGACUCCUACGGGAGGCAGCAGUAGGGAAUAUUGCACAAUGGGCGCAAGCCUGAUGCAGCAACGCCGCGUGAAGGAAGACGGUUUUCGGAUUGUAAACUUCUGUUCUUAGUGAAGAAUAAUGACGGUAGCUAAGGAGCAAGCCACGGCUAACUACGUG
Molecule: ribosomal RNA, 479 nt
Filed under: uncultured bacterium
Lineage: Bacteria
Description: partial 16S ribosomal RNA
Rfam family: Bacterial small subunit ribosomal RNA
Source: RNAcentral